Molecule: long non-coding RNA, 321 nt
Filed under: Danio rerio (zebrafish)
Lineage: Eukaryota; Metazoa; Chordata; Actinopteri; Cypriniformes; Danionidae
Description: si:ch211-188p14.9 (ENSDARG00000105092.2)
Source: RNAcentral
CGUCUGUAAACUGGGUCGAAACUACUGUAUAAAUAAACUUCGGUCCACGUGACAUCCCUUCACGUCUAUGCUCGCUAUCCCAAGGUUCAUUGCGAUCCCAAGGUUCACUGCGGUUUUCCACAAGCCUGUUUCUGCCUAUCACCAUGAGUGAUUCCUUGAUACUCAGAUUUUUCAUCAAGAUCUCAAUUAUAAGCUCAAGUCUUGAUGACAACUUGAUGAUCUGCAUGAAGCACCACCAUGUAUAGAGGGCCAAGACCACUCUGGAAUCAGUCAAGGCUCAUAGGAACUCCAAUCUUCCCAACUGUGAGAGGGCCUUGCUCC